This 245-nucleotide ribosomal RNA is filed under the name uncultured bacterium. RNAcentral describes it as "partial 16S ribosomal RNA". It matches the Rfam family "Bacterial small subunit ribosomal RNA", at positions 796 to 1041 of the family's 1533-position model. The record is from RNAcentral.
CAUGCUGUAAACGUUGGGCACUAGGUGUGGGGACCUUGUGGUUUCUGCGCCGUAGCUAACGCAUUAAGUGUCCCGCCUGGGGAGUACGGCCGCAAGGCUAAAACUCAAAGGAAUUGACGGGGGCCCGCACAAGCAGUGGAGUAUGUGGUUUAAUUCGAAGCAACGCGAAGAACCUUACCAGGGCUUGACAUCCUCGGACGACACUAGAGAUAGUGUUUUCUCUUCGGAGACUGAGAGACAGGUGG